GACGAACGCUGGCGGCGUGCUUAACACAUGCAAGUCGAACGGAAAGGCCCUGCUUUUGUGGGGUGCUCGAGUGGCGAACGGGUGAGUAACACGUGAGUAACCUGCCCUUGACUUUGGGAUAACUUCAGGAAACUGGGGCUAAUACCGGAUAGGAGCUCCUGCUGCAUGGUGGGGGUUGGAAAGUUUCGGCGGUUGGGGAUGGACUCGCGGGUUAUCAGCUUGUUGGUGGGGUAGUGGCUUACCAAGUCAUUGACGGGUAGCCGGCCUGAGAGGGUGACCGGCGACAUUGGGACUGAGAUACGGACCAGACUCCUACGGGAGGCAGCAGUGGAGAAUAUUGCACAAUGGGCGGAAGCCUGAUGCAGCAACGCCGCGUGCGGGAUGACGGCCUUCGGGUUGUAAACCGCUUUCGCCUGUGACGAAGCGUGAGUGACGGUAAUGGGUAAAGAAGCACCGGCUAACUACGUG
This 468-nucleotide ribosomal RNA is filed under the name uncultured bacterium. RNAcentral describes it as "partial 16S ribosomal RNA". It matches the Rfam family "Bacterial small subunit ribosomal RNA", at positions 28 to 507 of the family's 1533-position model. The record is from RNAcentral.